GGGCCCGUUGCCUAGCCAGGGCUCUUGGGCAGUCCGCCUAGGAGAGAUGAAUAGGGCGCCAGCCUUCUAAGUUGGAGCUCGCGCGUUCAAAUCGCGCCGGGCCCGCCA
This 108-nucleotide transfer RNA is filed under the name Candidatus Thorarchaeota archaeon. RNAcentral describes it as "tRNA-Arg". Lineage: Archaea; Promethearchaeati; Candidatus Thorarchaeota. The record is from RNAcentral.